GAUGAACGCUGGCGGCGUGCCUAAUACAUGCAAGUCGAGCGAACAGACGAGGAGCUUGCUCCUCUGACGUUAGCGGCGGACGGGUGAGUAACACGUGGAUAACCUACCUAUAAGACUGGGAUAACUUCGGGAAACCGGAGCUAAUACCGGAUAAUAUAUUGAACCGCAUGGUUCAAUAGUGAAAGACGGUUUUGCUGUCACUUAUAGAUGGAUCCGCGCCGCAUUAGCUAGUUGGUAAGGUAACGGCUUACCAAGGCAACGAUGCGUAGCCGACCUGAGAGGGUGAUCGGCCACACUGGAACUGAGACACGGUCCAGACUCCUACGGGAGGCAGCAGUAGGGAAUCUUCCGCAAUGGGCGAAAGCCUGACGGAGCAACGCCGCGUGAGUGGUGAAGGUCUUCGGAUCGUAAAACUCUGUUAUUAGGGAAGAACAAAUGUGUAAGUAACUAUGCACGUCUUGACGGUACCUAAUCAGAAAGCCACGGCUAACUACGU
RNAcentral lists this ribosomal RNA (496 nucleotides) under uncultured bacterium. Its description in RNAcentral is "partial 16S ribosomal RNA". It matches the Rfam family "Bacterial small subunit ribosomal RNA", at positions 28 to 506 of the family's 1533-position model. The record is from RNAcentral.